This 245-nucleotide ribosomal RNA is filed under the name uncultured Spirosoma sp. Its description in RNAcentral is "partial 16S ribosomal RNA". It matches the Rfam family "Bacterial small subunit ribosomal RNA", at positions 524 to 768 of the family's 1533-position model. Lineage: Bacteria; Pseudomonadati; Bacteroidota; Cytophagia; Cytophagales; Cytophagaceae. The record is from RNAcentral.
UACGGAGGGUGCAAGCGUUGUCCGGAUUUAUUGGGUUUAAAGGGUGCGUAGGUGGGUAUUUAAGUCUGGUUUGAAAGCAGGUGGCUCAACCAUCUGAUGUGGCUGGAAACUGGAUAUCUUGAAUGGGUUGGCGGUAGCCGGAAUGGGUCAUGUAGCGGUGAAAUGCAUAGAUAUGACCCGGAACACCGAUUGCGAAGGCAGGCUACUACGACUUGAUUGACACUGAGGCACGAGAGCAUGGGUAG